CCGACCUUAGCUCAGUUGGAAGAGCGCAAGACUGUAAUUGGAAACACCUUGAUCAUCUUGAUGUCGCCUGUUCGAGCCAGGCAGGUCGGA
Coprinopsis cinerea okayama7#130 is the source of this 90-nucleotide transfer RNA. It matches the Rfam family "tRNA". Rfam says of the family: Transfer RNA (tRNA) molecules are approximately 80 nucleotides in length. Their secondary structure includes four short double-helical elements and three loops (D, anti-codon, and T loops). Further hydrogen bonds mediate the characteristic L-shaped molecular structure. tRNAs have two regions of fundamental functional importance: the anti-codon, which is responsible for specific mRNA codon recognition, and the 3' end, to which the tRNAs corresponding amino acid is attached (by aminoacyl-tRNA synthetases). tRNAs cope with the degeneracy of the genetic code in two manners: having more than one tRNA (with a specific anti-codon) for a particular amino acid; and 'wobble' base-pairing, i.e. permitting non-standard base-pairing at the 3rd anti-codon position. Lineage: Eukaryota; Fungi; Basidiomycota; Agaricomycetes; Agaricales; Psathyrellaceae. The record is from Rfam.